GACGAACCGUGCGAACGUUGUUCGGAAUCACUGGGCUUAAAGGGCGCGUAGGCGGGUUCGCAAGUCUGUGGUGAAGGCCUCCAGCUUAACUGGAGAAGUGCCAUGGAUACUGCGCAUCUUGAGGAGGGUAGGGGCGUCUGGAACGGUCGGUGGAGCGGUGAAAUGCGUUGAUAUCGACCGGAACUCCGGUGGCGAAGGCGAGGCGCUGGACCCUUUCUGACGCUGAGGCGCGAAAGCCAGGGGAGCAAACGGG
RNAcentral lists this ribosomal RNA (253 nucleotides) under uncultured bacterium. RNAcentral describes it as "partial 16S ribosomal RNA". It matches the Rfam family "Bacterial small subunit ribosomal RNA", at positions 524 to 776 of the family's 1533-position model. The record is from RNAcentral.